RNAcentral lists this non-coding RNA (228 nucleotides) under Streptococcus pseudoporcinus. RNAcentral describes it as "T-box sequence". It matches the Rfam family "T-box leader". Rfam says of the family: Uncharged tRNA acts as the effector for transcription antitermination of genes in the T-box leader family. Lineage: Bacteria; Bacillati; Bacillota; Bacilli; Lactobacillales; Streptococcaceae. The record is from RNAcentral.
AAAAUGGUUGUGAAUUAGAGGAGUAGCUUUUAUCGUGUUUUUAGAGAGCUAGUGGUCGCUGUGAACUAGUAACACAAUUAGUGAAAUGGACUAAUGGACAUUUUUGUAAGGAAACAAUAACUUUCAGGUCUAGCACUCCUUAUCGUGCUACUUCUUAAUUUGAGAAGAUAGAGAUGGUAUUUUUAGAAUAUCAACUGAGGUGGUACCGCGACUAAUAACGCCCUCACG